GACGAACCAAGCGAACGUUAUUCGGAAUUACUGGGCUUAAAGCGCGUGUAGGCGGACUGCCACGUCGGUUGUUGAAAUCCCCCGGCUUAACCGGGAAACAGGUUCCGAUACGAGUAGUCUUGAGGUGGGUAGGGGAGACUGGAACUUCCGGGGGAGCGGGGAAAUGCGUUGAGAUCGGAAGGAACGCCCGGGGCGAAGGCGAGUCUCUGGCCCCAUACUGACGCUGAGACGCGAAAGCCGGGGAAGCAAACGGAAUUAAAUACCCGGGAAGCCCUGGCUGAAAACAUUGGGCACUGGCGAGUAGAACCGCGGAUGGUUUUACUGCCGCAGGGAAACCGUGAAGCGCCCCGGCUGAGGAGUAUGGUCGCAAGGCUGAUCCUCAGAGGAGUUGACGGGGGCUCACACAAGCGGAGGAGGAUGUGGCUUACUUCGAGGCUACGCGAAGAACCUCACCUAGGGUUGACACGCAAGGCUUAGCCGGCGGAAACCUCGGUGACGCCGCAAGUCGGAGCUUGCACAGGUCAUGCAUGGCGGUCGUCACCUCGUUCCGUGAGGUGUUGGGUUAAGUCCCGUAACGAGCGAAACCCCUGUGUCCAGCUGCCAGCGCGUAAAGGCGGGGUCUCUGGACAGACCCCCGGUGUUAAUCCGGAGGAAGGCGGGGACGUCGUCAAGUCAUCAUGGCCGUUAUGCCUAGGGCUGCACACGUCCUACAAUGGGCCGGACAAAGCGACGCAAGACCGCGAGGCGGAGCAAAUCGCAAAAACCGUCCCCCAGUUCAGAUUGCACUCUGCAAUUCGAGUGCAUGAAGUUGGAAUUGCUAGUAAUCGCGGAUCAGCCCUGCCGCGGUGAAUGUGUUCCUGAGCCU
This 865-nucleotide ribosomal RNA is filed under the name uncultured bacterium. RNAcentral describes it as "SSU rRNA". It matches the Rfam family "Bacterial small subunit ribosomal RNA", at positions 524 to 1381 of the family's 1533-position model. The record is from RNAcentral.